Molecule: ribosomal RNA, 406 nt
Filed under: uncultured bacterium
Lineage: Bacteria
Description: partial 16S ribosomal RNA
Rfam family: Bacterial small subunit ribosomal RNA
Source: RNAcentral
AUUGAACGCUGACGGCAGGCCUAACACAUGCAAGUCGAGCGAGCGGCGGACGGGUGAGUAAUGCCUGGGAAACUGCCUGAUGGAGGGGGAUAACUACCGGAAACGGUAGCUAAUACCGCAUACCAUCAGAUGUGCCUAGAUGGGAUUAGCUAGUUGGUGGGGUAAUGGCUCACCUAGGCGACGAUCCCUAGCUGGUCUGAGAGGAUGACCAGCCACACUGGAACUGAGACACGGUCCAGACUCCUACGGGAGGCAGCAGUGGGGAAUAUUGCACAAUGGGCGCAAGCCUGAUGCAGCCAUGCCGCGUGUGUGAAGAAGGCCUUCGGGUUGUAAAGUACUUUCAGCUGGGAGGCGUUACCCGCAGAAGAAGCACCGGCUAACUCCGUGCCAGCAGCCGCGGUAAUUC